This is a long non-coding RNA of Dermacentor silvarum, 1572 nucleotides long. RefSeq lists it as uncharacterized. Lineage: Eukaryota; Metazoa; Arthropoda; Arachnida; Ixodida; Ixodidae. The record is from RefSeq and is a predicted model, not a curated record. The transcript is spliced from 3 exons.
GCGAAAACCUUGUUCAAGCGGACAUACGAUCGUCACAGCUUUGGAAGUGCCUUCUAAUUUCACUACUCGGCAGUUCCAAUUUCAAUUCAGACCCAGUUUCGUUCUCGAAAAGUUUGCUGAAGCGGAAAUACCGAAUAAAACGCCUUCGUUAUGAAGGGACUUUUUUUUUGUAUUACUUUCUAUGGGCAGCUGACGGGGAAUCGAAAAAUCUUCUUUGUGGCAGAAAUUUCGCUGUAGCGGUAUUUGUUGUAGGGCGAUUCGACCGUAUAGCAAAUGUGAAAUGAUUGCAAUGAGUUCGACUACGAGUCCAUUGAUACAACUCAGUUUCUGUUAACAUUUUUUCUUUUUUUUUAUUGUUCAUAUUUUAACUCUGAAAACAGUAUAUCUCUUCCUGUUUUCCCAUAGAAUAAUUAGGCCCUUGGGAUUGACAGGCCCUGCGUACAUGUGAGGACUCUUAUCUAUUUCGUAGUCUUACUACCACUUGGAGGAAUGAGCCUCACCCCCCUCUGCCUUUUUUCAGUGGCUAGCAUAGCUAUUCGUUCGUAAGGACUCUCGUUAGUGAACCUUUCGACUUCAGUCAUCAUACUCUACACGCUCACUUAGCAAUUUCACGGCUGCGUGUUUUCAUCGAGCAUCUGUGGCACUUGUUACCACGACAAAGACAAGUCCCUUUGUUAAAAGGCUGGCUCUAGACAUCCCUUCUUCAACCAAUGCUGUUUUUUUCCACAUUAAUUGAAUAAAGAAGCGGCGACAUGCAACGAGAGCGGGGUGCAGCUAGCAAAGCAAUUAACAAAGGAGAUGGGCAUGACCACCAGUGAAACUUCACCUUGCUCUGGUAGGAAAAUGACAAGUGCUGGCGUCAGCGGAGAAACUUGACAUGGGCUUGUCUAUACUUUCUAUGCAAUAGAAGAUCGCCAUAAAGCAUAAUAUGACCCACUAUUAAACUGAAAAUUUCAUAGAUAUUUAGGACAACUUGGCUAUUUCUUCAGCUUCAGAGGGAAAAAAGCACAUAUUUAUUUGACAGUAAUAAUAGUAGCACACACUAUGCUUCUCGAUUCAUAGGUACCUAAGUUGCUGAUAGUAAGAUUCUUGUAAAGUGAUUAGCCUCCUGAGCAUGUACAGCACUACUUUUUGCACAUAAUUCGAAGCAUAAAGGUUUGUGUUCAAUUUUCUGAUAUUCCAUAUUUGAUUCGAUAUGCAGAUUCUUUUCUUGAUUCCAUAUUCGAUUCGAUAUUUAGUAUUCGGUAUUCGCACACCCCUACUUAUUAGACCUUGUGCCUUCUACCAUAAGCAGAAAAUAAUCAUGUGUAUUUGCCAUAAUUCUCAAAACAUCACUUCAGAUGGUACACAAGCAGUUGAGUUUCUGAAGUUUCCUCGCUUGCACAAACAAUACCUAGCACAGCUUCUGUAAGACAAUUUUUAGCUAUGAAAGACUGCUAAGCAAACACACGUGUGACAUAAAUUGUACCUUGGUGCUAUUUGGCCAUCCCUGGCUCGUGCGCCAAUAAACACCAUAUAUCAUCAUCAUCAUCAUCCUGUAACUUGUAGAAAAAAGUAGAUUUCUUAUUUAUU